Molecule: ribosomal RNA, 301 nt
Filed under: uncultured bacterium
Lineage: Bacteria
Description: partial 16S ribosomal RNA
Rfam family: Bacterial small subunit ribosomal RNA
Source: RNAcentral
CAGUCGCCACGGUAAUACGUAGGUGGCAAGCGUUGUCCGGAUUUACUGGGCGUAAAGCGAACGCAGGCGGACUGUUAAGUAGGAAGUGAAAGGUCGGAGCUCAACUCCAACAUUGCUUCCUAUACUGGCAGUCUUGAGUAGCGGAGAGGAAGGGGGAACGACACGUGUAGCGGUGAAAUGCGUUGAUAUGUGUCGGAACACCCAUGGCGAAAGCACCCUUCUGGACGCAAACUGACGCUCAGGUUCGAGAGCCAAGGUAGCGAACAGGAUUAGAUACCCCCGUAGUCCCUGUCUCUUAUAC